Molecule: ribosomal RNA, 431 nt
Filed under: uncultured microorganism
Description: bacterial SSU rRNA
Rfam family: Bacterial small subunit ribosomal RNA
Source: RNAcentral
GAGUUUGAUCGUGGCUCAGGAUGAACGCUGGCGGCGUGCCUAAUACAUGCAAGUCGAGCGAACAGACGGGGAGCUUGCUCCCCUGACGUUAGCGGCGGACGGGUGAGUAACACGUGGGUAACCUACCUAUAAGACUGGAAUAACUCCGGGAAACCGGGGCUAAUGCCGGAUAACAUGUUGGACCGCAUGGUCCUACAGUGAAAGACGGUCUUGCUGUCACUUAUAGGUGGACCCGCGCCGUAUUAGCUAGUUGGUAAGGUAACGGCUUACCAAGGCAACGAUACGUAGCCGACCUGAGAGGGUGAUCGGCCACACUGGAACUGAGACACGGUCCAGACUCCUACGGGAGGCAGCAGUAGGGAAUCUUCCGCAAUGGACGAAAGCCUGACGGAGCAACGCCGCGUGAGUGAUGAAGGCCUUCGGUCGUAAAC